UAAUCAAAUUAGACGAUGUAUCAAUGUGAAAUAUAUUAAUGCGAUUGAGUAAUUAGUAUGUCUUAGUGCAAACUUUGAUUGAAAAUUACUCUUAUUCGUAUGAUAUAAAGUAAUGUAUGGGUGAAGUCUUAAAAGAUUUAAUCGGUGUACAUAAUUUAAACGGAUAUCAACUCCAGAAGUUGAUAGUUUCGUUCAUUUUUCACUUUGAAAAAAUUAGAGUGUUCAAAGCCGAGCUAAAAUUGCUCGAAUGUUAUAUCAUUGUAUGAAAUACCAUGAUCUCGUUUAGACUUUUUUGUCUUCUUUUAUUGAUCUAAAA
Molecule: ribosomal RNA, 316 nt
Filed under: Jaera albifrons
Lineage: Eukaryota; Metazoa; Arthropoda; Malacostraca; Isopoda; Janiridae
Description: partial small subunit ribosomal RNA
Source: RNAcentral